Molecule: long non-coding RNA, 290 nt
Filed under: Mytilus galloprovincialis (Mediterranean mussel)
Lineage: Eukaryota; Metazoa; Mollusca; Bivalvia; Mytilida; Mytilidae
Source: RNAcentral
AAAAAUAAAAAAAUAAUAAAAAUAUGAAACAAAUAUUAUUAAAAAAAAGUGUUUGGAAUUUCCCCCUUGGGGUACCAUUUUGGGGUAUUUCCCUAUGAGCGUAGUAUAGGCGUAUAAGCAUUGACAAUUUAAGGAAUUAGAAAGGGAAAAUGAAUUUAAUUAAUAACAUUUGAUAAACAUGGUAUAUAAACUACCAAUUUGAAGACAUAACAGGUUUAAAUUCAUAAAAGUUUGACCAUUGUUACUACACGUUGUCAUGGUUGUGACGUGACGUUGUAAGUAGGCGGGGC